RNAcentral lists this ribosomal RNA (446 nucleotides) under uncultured bacterium. Its description in RNAcentral is "bacterial SSU rRNA". It matches the Rfam family "Bacterial small subunit ribosomal RNA", at positions 64 to 486 of the family's 1533-position model. The record is from RNAcentral.
AACGAAGAAAUGGUGUUAGCAAUACACAUGGUACAGGUGGGCCGAACGGGUGAGGAUUACAUGGGUAACCUACCCUCGAGUGGGGAAUAACUAGCCGAAAGGUUAGCUAAUACCGCGUACGCUUCCGGGACUGCGGGUUCCGGAAGGAAAGCGAUACCGUGGGUAUCGGCGGCUCUUGGAUGGGCUCAUGCCCUAUCAGCUUGUUGGGGAGGUAACGGCUCACCAAGGCUUCGACGGGUAGGCUGGAUCUGAGAGGAUGAUCAGGCCACACUGGGACUGCGACACGGGCCAGACUCCUACGGGAGGCAGCAGUAAGGAAUAUUGCGCAAAUGGGCGAAAGCCUGACGCAGCGACCCCGCGUGGGGGAUGAAGGUCUUCGGAUUUGUAAACCCCUUUCGGGAGGGAAGAUGGGAUGGGGGUAACCCAUUCGGACGGUACCUCCAGAA